CAGGACGAACGCUGGCGGCGUGCCUAAUACAUGCAAGUCGAACGGUCUUUCUAUGGAAGCUUGCUUCCACUGAGAAGAUAGUGGCGAACGGGUGAGUAACACGUGGGUAACCUGCCCAUAAGAGGGGGAUAACAUCCGGAAACGGGUGCUAAUACCGCAUAGUUUUCUUGAUCGCAUGAUCGGGAAAGGAAAGACGGCCUUUGUGCUGUCGCUUAUGGAUGGACCCGCGGCGUAUUAGUUAGUUGGUGAGGUAACGGCUCACCAAGACGAUGAUACGUAGCCGACCUGAGAGGGUGAUCGGCCACAUUGGGACUGAGACACGGCCCAAACUCCUACGGGAGGCAGCAGUAGGGAAUCUUCCGCAAUGGACGAAAGUCUGACGGAGCAACGCCGCGUGAGUGAAGAAGGUUUUCGGAAUCGUAAAACUCUGUUGUCAGAGAAGAACAAGUUGGAGAGUAACUGCUCCAGCCUUGACGGUAUCUGACCAGAAAGCCACGGCUAACUACGUGCCAGCAGCAGC
This 520-nucleotide ribosomal RNA is filed under the name uncultured bacterium. RNAcentral's name for it is "bacterial SSU rRNA". It matches the Rfam family "Bacterial small subunit ribosomal RNA", at positions 25 to 518 of the family's 1533-position model. The record is from RNAcentral.